GGCAAAGACACAGAGAGUGCACCCAGAACACAUACCCCCAGGAGACCUGCAGGGGCCAGGGCUGCCUGACAGACCCCUCCACGCCCCAUGUCCACAGGGUGAUGCCUCAUCACAACCGUAAAGGAAUGUCAAGAGGACAGAAUUCUGAGAACUUGGGGAGGAGGUGCCUCGAUUUUUCUGGAAGAAGGUGGCAGAAAGAGCAAAUCAAGCUAAGAGGGCCUGCUAGCUGGUAAGUAGCUCUGCAAAGAAUGGAGAAAGAAGGGCCCCACAGUCAAAGAUGCCCAGGAUAAUUCCUAUAGGACCUGCUUCAUUUCCCAGGCAAGGUGUGUCAUCAGCUUAUAUGCAAAUGAGGUCUUAACAAAUUAUUUUUAAAGUCAUUGGAAAAAAAUGCUUAGCUCGCCCAAUUUUGGUGGGUUCAGGACUUAUGUUCCAACAAUGCUUAUUACCCUGUAAAUCUGGACAUAAAACCAGCUCCAGUCAGGGUUUGAAUCAGCAUGAAUUCUAGGUCAGUGUAGGUCCAAAGAAGAGGUUUGUGCAGCCGGGGCUGAGGACACAGCAGCCUUAUCGCUAACUGUGGUUCUGGCCAGGGCUCUGCACAAGGCAGGAGCAGCAAGCUAGUUACACAGGGCCAGUGCCCUCAACCUGCUCUCCUGUUUUUCCUGUCCUUCUCCCUUCUACCAGGUGGCUCUUUCCUGCUCAGGACAGUGCUCUUGGACAGACCCUCCAGUGGGCACUUAAGAGUCCUAGGAAACUGAAGCCCAGAGAUGCCAAAUGAUUGAGGUCCGAGGUCAUCCAGCAUCAGAGCCAGGAUUACACAAUCACUUAAAAUGCAGCUCAACUGUGAAAGUGAGGAGGGAGAAUAUAAGUGUGAGUUCAUGACCCGCCAUCCUCAGGGGAAGCCUGCAUCAUGUCACCCCCGCCAGGUGACGCACGUGCACAUGCCUCUGAUCUAUCUACCCUGCCAGCUACAGAAAUCAAGACAAAGCCUGGAAUCUACCAACCUACCAGCAUCUCCAGCAGGAAGGGUGGAGGUAAAGUGGCCCUUCCUCAAGCACAGAGAAACCAAAGCUGAAGGGUGUAUCCUCAGCCCACCAGCAGCAGAGAGGCUCCAGAGAGAACCUCUGUGCCAGGGGCUAUGCCCCCUACACCAGGCCUCCUCUGGCCUCGCUGAGGGGAGGGCUCGCUCAGCCAUAAUCUGUUCUCCCUGACACACCCUCCUUUUAUUUCUCUCACUCCAGAAAGUAACAAGGAUAACCCCCCUCCUCAUAACCCUCCUCCCCUUCAGAGCACAGAGAGCUCCUGGAGAACCAGGGCUGGUCCCUGUUCUUUCCACACUGGGCUCACUCUGCUCUUAACUUUUUCCAGAGGCAAAAACAUCAGGAUUAAAGCCAGGUGGCCACAGUGCUGCA
This 1409-nucleotide long non-coding RNA is filed under the name Homo sapiens (human). RNAcentral describes it as "HSALNT0389800". The record is from RNAcentral. Lineage: Eukaryota; Metazoa; Chordata; Mammalia; Primates; Hominidae.